This 630-nucleotide ribosomal RNA is filed under the name uncultured fungus. RNAcentral's name for it is "eukaryotic LSU rRNA". It matches the Rfam family "Eukaryotic large subunit ribosomal RNA", at positions 24 to 664 of the family's 3401-position model. The record is from RNAcentral. Lineage: Eukaryota; Fungi.
CCCGCUGAACUUAAGCAUAUCUAUAAGCGGAGGACAAGAAACCAACAGGGCAUUGCCUUAGUAACGGCGAGUGAAGCGGCAAUAGCUCAAAUUUGAAAUCUGGCGUCUUUGGGCGUCCGAGUUGUAAUUUGUAGAGGAUGUUUCGGUAUUAGCUCUUAUCUAAGUUCCUUGCAACAGGACGUCCCAGAGGGUGAGAAUCCCGUAUGCGAUUAGUUGCUUUUGCCAUGUGAAACUCCUUCUACGAGUCGAGUUGUUUGGGAAUGCAGCUCUAAUUGGGAGGUAAAUUUCUUCUAAAGCUAAAUAUUGGCCAGAGACCGCUAGCGCACAAGUAGAGUGAUCGAAAGAUGAAAAGCACUUUGUAGAGAGAGUUAAAAAGUACUCGAAAUUGUUGAAAGGGAAGCGCUUACAAUCAGACCUGCUUGCAGUUGUUAAUCUAGGCCUUGUGUCUAGUGUAUUCUUCUGUAAUCAGGCCAGUAUCGGUUUAAGCAGUCGGAUAAAGAUUUUAGGAAUGUAGCUCUCUUCGAGGGACGUGUUAUAGCCUAAUUUGCAAUGCAACCUGCCUAGAUCGAGGACCGCGCUUCGGCUAGGAGACUGGCGUAAUGGUUGUCAGCGUCCCGUCUUGAAACACGG